CUUUCUCUCCAUUGUGAAGAUUAUUUGUAAAUAUCAUCUAAUACUUUAACUAAUUUAAUUAUUGUAACCUUUUUUUCUCAAAGUUCUCGGUCGGUCUCAACAAGAGCAAUAGGGACGCCUUGCACAUUUCCAAAUCUAUAUGGGUAUCUUUUAAAUGUAGAAAGAUGGGACUUCUUCACAGCAAGUAUCAGUUUAACCUCAACAUAGUUCUU
RNAcentral lists this long non-coding RNA (212 nucleotides) under Capsicum annuum. RNAcentral describes it as "long non-coding RNA (CANN_LNC005150)". The record is from RNAcentral. Lineage: Eukaryota; Viridiplantae; Streptophyta; Magnoliopsida; Solanales; Solanaceae.